GGGUGUGAUCAACCAGCACUAAUGCAUCAUAUCGAAUCAGUCAUCCCUAGUUAAGCGUGCUUCGGCGAGAGUAGUACUAGGAUGGGUGACCUCCAAGGAAGUCCUCGUGUUGCACCCC
This 118-nucleotide ribosomal RNA is filed under the name Beta vulgaris subsp. vulgaris (sugar beet). Lineage: Eukaryota; Viridiplantae; Streptophyta; Magnoliopsida; Caryophyllales; Amaranthaceae. The record is from RNAcentral.